Molecule: non-coding RNA, 73 nt
Organism: Hymenopellis radicata
Lineage: Eukaryota; Fungi; Basidiomycota; Agaricomycetes; Agaricales; Physalacriaceae
Source: the annotation of a GenBank genome assembly
GGCAUGUUAGCUCAGUGGUUAGAGCACCCAAUGCAUAGUCGGAAGGUCCCUGGUUCGAUUCCAGGACAAGCCA